Molecule: ribosomal RNA, 445 nt
Filed under: Aleiodes seriatus group sp. MRS616
Lineage: Eukaryota; Metazoa; Arthropoda; Insecta; Hymenoptera; Braconidae
Description: LSU rRNA
Source: RNAcentral
CCUGAGAAACCCAAAAGAUCGAAUGGGGAGAUUCAUCGUCAGCUCAUUUUGUAUAUGUAUAAGUUAUGAUGCGGGUUACUACUUGUAGUAUUGCCUGCACAUUCUUGUAUAUUUAGUUGCAAGAUGUUGUCGGCGUGCACUUCUCCCCUAGUAGAACGUCGCGACCUGUUGGGUGUCGGUCUACGGCCCAAGUGAUAGACUUUAAUGUAAUUUAAAAAGCAUUAAAGAUCCUUGGUGUUUUCUGACCGGCUACUUGGCAGUAUUCGUACGGUAUUUAGCCGCUAAAUUUAUUAAGCGUCCAUAUCCGUCACAAGCGAGGCUAAUUUACUGAUAGUACGGACCUAGUGCCGUCGUUGGUAUUGGCCAGCUGUUGGUUGUAUGGUAUUCUAGGACUGGCUAAAAUUAAUUACCGGUCGGCGAUGCUACUGCUUUGGGUACUUUCAGG